GGCGUUUUGAAGGAUGACAUCAACAACAUGCUGUCCAGCUCCAUGUCAUAACAGAAAUGCGUUGACCUGGCUUCUAUGCCCAAACAUUGAUCAUGUGUCCUCUGCAUUGCAAAUUCUUGUUCACCUUGCUCAGGAGGACAAAGGUGAACUUGUCGAAAAGGUUCUUCAGCACUGCAACCCAGAAUUAUGCAUAGAUGCUCUUCGAAAACUGCUGAAGUCACCUGCCUCAUGGCUGAGUAGUACUGGAGCUUGUAUCUUUGGGGUCCUGCUGGAAAAUGAGUCCAUGGUGCUGAAACUUCAGAAGGGGACCAAAGGGGAAAGCAAUCUCAUAUGUGACCUUGUUCAGAUGUUUACUGAAGAUGAUCCUGAUGUUGUGAUGAAUGCUGCUGGAGCCAUAGCCUCAUUGGUUGAAACUACAUCAGGACGGACAUGGUUCCUUCAGAUCCAAAGUGUGUUCAGUGGGGUCCUUGAGAGCCUAUCAGUUCUUCUAGAGAAUGAGAGAGAGAAUACGGUUAACUCUGCAGCACUUAUUCUUGCACGACUGUCCCAGUGUGAAGAAACCUGUGAAAAGGUUUUAUCCCAUUCAUCUGCCUGCAAGAUCUUCAGAUGUUUAACACAAUGCUUGUCGUGUAGUCACAAAGACACAGCCAUGAAUGCGGCAUUUGCUGUUGGCCGUCUGUGUGGUAGCAAACAAGCCAAGAUCCUCAUUCUGAGAGUGGCCAAAGAGCAUCAGCUGGUUAGUCGCCUGCAGACUCUGCUGUUGAGUGGGUCAGGAGUGGAGAUGGGGCAAACAGUGUGCUUUGCUCUGAGCUGCUUAGCAAAUGAGGAAGAUGGCCAUGCUCUGCUGAUGGAAAGCACCUGUGUCCCUACAUUGCUGAAUGGUCUUUUACAGCUGUUGCAGAGCCCAGACCCAGACAGUAUCUGGUUUGCUGCUAUGACAGUACGAAUACUGGUUUCCCGGCCGAGUGGAGUGGUCCCUGUCAGGAUCCAUUGCUCUCUGCAUGAGCAGUUGAAGAUUCUCUCUAUGUCACCAUCCACUGGGCUAGAGCUGCAGGAGGAGGUCAACAUGUGUCUCAGGAAACUGGAGCGUUUAUCCAAACCACAUCCAGUGAUGGUUACAAACCUCUCAUCAACGAGCUGCACUGUAUCAUGGGAAAAGUGUAGACCUGAAAGUGGCCUGGAGGUCAUAUACAGUCUCUUUCACAAGGAUGUCAUGCUGUACCAUGGCCUGUUGUGUCAGGUGACCAUACCUAUUUCUCCCAAGCAAUCUAAGGAGCCCCUUUCCCUACAGCUCAACCUGUCUACACCUGAUGGUGACAUUAGUCCUUUCAGUGAACCUGUGGUUAUUACUCCAGAGCAGCUGGACACGAGACUUAAGCCUCCACGAGAGCUCUGUGUGAUUGGCUCUACAGCUACACAGGUACGCCUGUGCUGGAUAGAACCAGAGGGAGGAGCCAAACCCAAAUCAUACCAGAUCUACUGUAAUGACACACUGGUGAAGACCACUGCUCUGCUGGGGGCUACAGUUGGCUGUUUAUCUCCUGGCACCUCCUAUCAGCUGAGUGUGAGUUCACUUGGUCCAGGGGACACAGAGAGUCCUAGAGCAGUAACUGAGGUGAGGACAGCGGAAGAUCAAGAUCAUGCUCCUUCUGCGGUCACUGUAGUUGUCCUGGGACGACAUGAACUGCAGAUAAACUGGGGAGCUCCAGUCGCUCCUUUGGGGAGACUCUUCAAAUAUGAGCUAAGUCUAAAUGGGUGUGUGGUGUACCUGGGCACAGAAAGGUCAUACACUGCUUGUCGCCUGUCUGCUAACACAGCAUACACCUGUGUUGUGACAGCUAUCACCUCCAGGGGGCGCUGCCAGAGCAGUCCGGUCACAAAGAAGACAGCACGGGAUGAAUUCCUGCACUCACAUAGGUAUCUGCACUCUCAUAGCCACCAGUCAGCCUCAAAACACUCCACUCCUUCUUCAAGCAUCCAAGUGAUAAGUGAAGUCAAAAAGAAUGACACAGUUUCUCCAGCUACACUCAAUUCUAAGGUCCAUCCCACUAUGAUCCCGCACAGAGCCCUUGACCUUAGAAAAGACAGGCACAGGCAAACAUCAGUUCCUAAAGGGAUUCAACCUUCCAGUCACACAUCUAAGGAACAUUAUGAGUACAUGUUCCGGUCCUUGACCAUAUCAUCAACCCCAGAGGAUCUCAGACACUUUAAGGCCAAGAUCAGCCCAGCCAGACCGCAGUGGAACUCAGACAGAAAAGUUCCCAUAGACAGAGAGAAACUUCCAGGCAUCAGCAAACAAAUCUCAGAGGAUGUGAGACUGCUUCAGCCUGUUUCGUUUAGUUGGUCUAAUCUGGAAUGGACCAAACAACAUCAAAACAGACCACAAAGAAAUAAAGCCAUUUUGAAGGUCCAAUGUCAGGAAAGAGGAAGACGAUAUCAAAUAUCAUCACAAACCAAACUCACGGCACAGCUGGUUUAAUUUUUGCACAGCGAACACUUCAGGAAAGAAUCCCAUAUCCCCUUCAGUGGAACCUUCUGGUGUCUAUUGGAAGAACCACAAAAUCCUGCAACACCUGCAGAUCCCAAAGUCACAGGAUAUGGGGAUGUGAUGGAAUGAGCUCAAACCUUUGUUUGCCACCUUCGAUUUUAGGAGGAUGUUUAGCCUUUCUAAACUAAAAGUGAUUUUGGUUCUGGUUAUAGCUGGUUAAAACAAUUUUUAAUUUUUUUUUUCAUAUAUACUGUGUGUGUCAAUAAAUAAUUUAUAUUAAGAAUUGUUUUGCGUGCA
Long non-coding RNA from Cyprinus carpio (common carp), 2785 nucleotides. The record is from Ensembl. Lineage: Eukaryota; Metazoa; Chordata; Actinopteri; Cypriniformes; Cyprinidae.